AAAGUGUAUAAGUGUUCCUUUUUCUCCACAGCCUUGCCAGCUUCUGUUGUUUUUUGUCUUUUUAUUAAUGGCCAUUUGGACUGGUGUGAGAUGAUAUCUCAUUAUGGUUUAGAUUUGCAUUUUUCUGAUGAUUAGUGAUGGCUUUUCUCUAGGGUGAAGGUACACUCGAGCGUGGUCAUUGAGGACAAGUCGACGAGAGAUCCCGAGUACGUCUACAGUCAGCCUUACGAGUGGACUGAUCAAGUUGAAAGCAACAGAACAAGCAUCUAUAAGAAUUGAUUAUAUGUCCCAGCACUUUGGAAGGCUGAGGCAAGUGGAUCCCUUGGGCCUAGGACUUCGCGAGACCAGUUGGGCAACAUGAUGAACUCCUACUAAUUUUCGUCCUUCAGAACAAGAUGGAAGAAACUACGGUCACAUAUGCAAAUGGAGAAGAUGAUGAACACAGAAAAAUUAUGCAAAGAUAAUCCCUAAACCUUCUUUCUCAUCAAAAGUUAUAGCAAGGUGGUUUAAUAUAUCACUGACGGAACACGAUGCUUUGUUUAAUGAAGACUCAGACGGAAAGGAUCAGACAUCAACCUAUAAAUGCAUCAACCAGAAGGAAAGACCAAUUUUGAAAACUGUUGAGCAUUAUUCUAUACCUCUAAGCUGUUCUUUUCUGAACCAUGAAUCGGGAGAAUUAUUGUCACUCAUACAUGAGUAUGAGUUGUAAUUCUCAAUUCCCAAGUAAAAAUCUUCCUGCUUUUGUUAU
Molecule: long non-coding RNA, 748 nt
Filed under: Homo sapiens (human)
Lineage: Eukaryota; Metazoa; Chordata; Mammalia; Primates; Hominidae
Description: LHFPL3 antisense RNA 1
Source: RNAcentral